GUUACUUGAGUAUUUUAACAAUUAUCCUCCCUCCACAGGCAACCAGCUCACUUCUCAAUGAGGAGCAGCUGUGCAGAGCCCAGAACAAAAGGCUACAUGCUAAUUACUAAAAUACUCAAUAAAUACAAUUAAAACUUCUCGUGUGCAAAUUGUUAUUUAUGUGCAAAUCUCUGCUUAAAGUGCAGUGCUAAAUAAAGUGC
Long non-coding RNA from Poecilia latipinna (sailfin molly), 200 nucleotides. RefSeq lists it as uncharacterized. NCBI's taxonomy places the organism in Eukaryota, Metazoa, Chordata, Actinopteri, Cyprinodontiformes, Poeciliidae. The record is from RefSeq and is a predicted model, not a curated record. The transcript has 3 exons.